GGAAAACGGUAACGCUGCAGUUUAAAUUAUAGAAGUGUUAAAGUGUUUUUGACCUCGGAUGCGUGUAGAUCUAUCGUAGGAGACAAAAUUAGGCACGUUUCAAAUCCGUAAUAGGUGCGCUUUAAUUCUACACUGCUCAAUUGUGUUUAUUGGGAUGUUCAUCAGAAGACAGCGGAUUAGAUAAUCUUAUAAUCCGUUAACAGUAGAAUGAGUGACAGGAAGUACAAGAAUGACUUCAGUCGUCAUGUGAACAGCACUGACUAAUGUCAGACAAGAAAACACCACAUCAUCACAGCAGGACAGGAAGAACAGCUGUCACUCCAGUGUUUGAGCUUGAUGGUGAGGAACAACCCAACAGCGACCUCUAGAGGUAAAACAUAACCAUACACACAAACACAAACACAUCCCAGUGCAAUUAUUCAGCAUUACACCAUGGACAAUUUUCAUUAAAGUUAAUGUAAUGUUAUAUAACAGUGGUUCUCAAGCUUUUUUUGUUUGUUUGUUUUUUAUCCAGGGAGCCUUUUAACUGUAAAACAUA
Ictalurus punctatus (channel catfish) is the source of this 538-nucleotide long non-coding RNA. The record is from Ensembl. Lineage: Eukaryota; Metazoa; Chordata; Actinopteri; Siluriformes; Ictaluridae.